AUUGAACGCUGGCGGCAGGCCUAACACAUGCAAGUCGAACGAGUGGCGGACGGGUGAGUAAUGUCUGGGAACCUGCCUGAUGGAGGGGGAUAACUACUGGAAACGGUAGCUAAUACCGCAUACCCUCGGAUGUGCCCAGAUGGGAUUAGCUAGUAGGUGGGGUAAAGGCUCACCUAGGCGACGAUCCCUAGCUGGUCUUAGAGGAUGACCAGACACACGGGAACUGAGAAACGGUCCAGACUCCGACGGGAGGAAGCAGUGGGGAAUAUUGCACAAUGGGCGCAAGCCUGAGGCAGCCAUGCCGCGUGUAUGAAGAAGGCCUUCGGGUGGUAAAGUACUGUCAGCGGGGAGGCGUUACCCGCAGAAGAAGCACCGGCUAACUCCGUGCCAGCAGCCGCGGUAAUUC
Molecule: ribosomal RNA, 406 nt
Filed under: uncultured bacterium
Lineage: Bacteria
Description: partial 16S ribosomal RNA
Rfam family: Bacterial small subunit ribosomal RNA
Source: RNAcentral